Dreissena polymorpha is the source of this 490-nucleotide long non-coding RNA. RefSeq lists it as uncharacterized. NCBI's taxonomy places the organism in Eukaryota, Metazoa, Mollusca, Bivalvia, Myida, Dreissenidae. The record is from RefSeq and is a predicted model, not a curated record. The transcript is spliced from 2 exons.
UUCUCAAAUUAUGCAAUUUUUGGCUUAGACACAGCAUGGAAUCAGAUAAGAGAAUAGCCAGUCCCUAUCAGUCCUCCAUCUAAGCCUAACUAAGGGGUGUUGAUAUACUUUUGAUUUGUUCAGGCACCAUCUAUUUGAGAACCACUGAUGGGAAGUUAUUUUUUUGAAAACAAGCAGCAUCAGCAACUGACUUUAAGCUAGAAUUAAGACUUAUUAUUCUAGUGUAAAAUGUCUUGAAAUACUUUCAGCAUGAAGUAUUGUGUGAUGAAAAAAUGUGUAUUUACUACAAUGUGUAAAUCAACAAUAAGUUUGUUGCAAAGGAGAUUAAAAGUGGGUGGUUAAAGACAUAUAAAGUGAUAUGGUCUAGUUCAACAACUGCCUGUAUUUUUGGAAUACUGAAGAACAGUCUGUUGUAACAGGUUAAACCCCAUGGUGACCGUGAAAUUUACAUUGAUCAGAAGAUCCUUUGGAAAGAAUGUGCAUCAUCGCA